GGGUAUUAACUUGAAUACUUAAGAUAUGGUCCAAUCCAUCGUGAAAGCGAUGGUGCUACAUAGUGAAUGUAGAUGUUCUGGGCCGCACGCGCGCUACACUGACCGAACCAGCGAGUUUAUCACCUUGGCCGGAAGGCCUGGGUAAUCUUGUGAAACUCGGUCGUGAUGGGGAUAGAGCAUUGCAAUUAUUGCUCUUCAACGAGGAAUACCUAGUAAGCGUGAGUCAUCAGCUCGCGUUGAAUUCGUCCCUGCCCUUUGUGUACGAGGGGCAGACAGGUAAUCGUACCUAGUGACAAUCUGUAUGUACUGUCGCAACACUUUCACAUUGCGGGAAAGCUCUCAAGCUCGCGCUACCAAGCUCUGUAUUCGAGAAUCAGAGUGGCAUCCUCAGGAUCGGAUGGUAUGGUUACAAUGCGUUCGAGAUUGGGCAACCCGCAGCCGACUCUAAGCAUCAGUAAUGGUGACCGAGUCAGUCCACAGACUAAAUGUGAGUGGGUCUCAAUGUAGGCUUAAGAUAUAGUCGAAUCCACUAUGAAAGUAGUGGUCAUGAAUGUUGUACACACCGCCCGUCGCUACUACCGAUUGAAUGGCUUAGUGAGGUCUUCGGAUUGGCUUCUGGGAGCCGGAAACGGCACCUAGUCGCUGAAAAGUUGUACGAACUUGGUCAUUUAGAGGAAGUAAAAGUCGUAACAAGGUUUCCUUCUAUUCGUUAUUAAUGCGUUGAUAGCAGAAUAAGGAUGGGUCUUUCUUUCAGGAUUACACCUAUUGAAGCCUUUGCGGAUCUACUAAGAUGUAGAUCUAACCAGCCGACUAUAAAUAUAUUGGUUGUCCGCAAGUCGUCGGGUAGCGGCUAGAUUGUCAAACUGCGGGGAAGCCCUUAGGCCCGAGGUACACCACUCAUAUGCACACGCUUAGAGUGUCGUAAUAAUCCGAGGGAUUGGGUAAU
Molecule: ribosomal RNA, 946 nt
Filed under: Cystobasidiomycetes sp.
Lineage: Eukaryota; Fungi; Basidiomycota; Cystobasidiomycetes
Description: partial small subunit ribosomal RNA
Rfam family: Eukaryotic small subunit ribosomal RNA (bases 1-740)
Source: RNAcentral